This 2444-nucleotide long non-coding RNA is filed under the name Marmota monax (woodchuck). The record is from RNAcentral. Lineage: Eukaryota; Metazoa; Chordata; Mammalia; Rodentia; Sciuridae.
GUAAACUUUGUAAAUAAUCAGCUUCAGAACUAUAGUGCUUAAGAUUUAUAAAGAGCCCUGCCUUACUUGAGAUAAGGCUCUGUCCCAUCUCACUACAUGUGAAAGAUGCUAUAAAAGAAGUAAGCCAGAUUUCGGUACAGUUAAAGUUGUGUCCAAAAGUAGGUUUUUGCCAAGAUUACUAGGAUCUCAAAUAGGAAAUUAUGAUUUAUAACCCUGCCAGAAUUCAAGGUAGCUAUUUUGUAAGCUAAAUAUGUUUUUACCAUAGUUAGUUUUGUUUUGUAGUUUGCUUAUAGAUGGUUUAAGGAUUGCCUGUUAAUGUUUUAAAGAGAUAUUGCUUUAAGAACACAACCUGGGUAAACAAAAGAUAAGGAGUUAUCACCUACAGCAUAGAGAGAUAGACCUUAAAGCCCAGUGCUCUUAAUAUAAGGUUGUUAACUUAUUUGUUGGAUGUUUAAGAUCACGUUUUUAAAAUUAGUUAAAUUAAAAGGGCAAAGAAAACCAAUAUUUGGCUCUUGCCCUCUGAGUCAGUCUGAAUCAGGGAAUAGGGGACUUCUCCAAAGGGCUCUGCAACUCUAGGCAACAUAACCUCCUGAGCAGGGAGAUUAAUGAGACCAGUGGAGGACAGAAAGCCAAUCAGUGCAUUUGCUGUAAAGAGGAGGGUCAUCAGAAAGGGGAGACAUCCCUGAUGCUUCCGAGGGAAUCCACAUUGUCAAGCAAGGCCUGGACCCAUCCUAAGGUAAAUGGCACUAGCAGAACUGAGAAGCUACUAUAAAGUUCCCCUGAGGACUCCCAGGGAAACUCAGCUGACUGUUGACAAUAGAUAAGAACAAAAGUCAGUUUGACUUGCUUCAUCUUAAACACUUAGCAAAGACAGUUAAAGCCAAAGCAAAGUUGUUCCUGGACAUUUUAAAUGAUAAUAAUAGUUAAAUGUAACUUCCAAAAAUAAGUAAACUGGAGGCUACAAAAGAGAUUCUCAGACGGGAAUGUCUGAUAACUAUUAAAAGAAACUGCCAGAGUACUUUUUAGUUUAAGGCCCACAGAUAUUCCUAACCUACACAGGUAGGCUUGGUGUUUGCUAGUAUGGUUAUCCAGCCCUAAGUAACAGAAUUAAAGGUUUCUCUAUUAGACACACAGGUCAUACUAGUAAAAGGAUUUUGCAAGAUCAGAUGACAUUAAAUUAUUAGACUAUAUCUUAAAGGAAAGGACAUCUGUAAACCUAAAUGUUACUUGUUGUGUUUAUAUCCCUGACAUUUCUGGCAAGGUGACAAAUAUCCUUAAAGAUUUACAUGCUCAGAUAGAAGCCAUGUCCUCAGCAACUUUGUCAUGAAAACAAUAUCUUAGCUUCUGGUUCUUGGUACUUCCUUGUAAAAAACAUUGUUAGUCUCUGUCUUGGCCAUUAUACUCAUUGGCAUAUUCCUGUGCUGUGACUUUAUUGCUGCAUCAAUAUGGUUCCAGUAAAUUAAUAAAUUCUUGUUUCUCUUAUAGAACACCCAUCACUUGAAUGGCCCUCCAGCCUAAUACUUCUCAAUUGGACUUUUUUCAUGGACCACUCGAUAGACCCGAUUAUUAAAGGGGGACUCCAAACUGCUUGCCACACAGCGUCACUUUUCAGCCUGAAGAAGCCAGAAAGAUUCUCUUCGCCCCCCCUUCCUUACAGCAGUAAGGAGUUCCCAAAUUAGAGGGGGGGGAAUGAAGCCAGAUGUAAAGUUAGGUAGUCAGUGUAGUUAGAUAAAUCGGGAUCUAAUACCGAGUGAAAACUAAAAUGGAGGCCAUGCAGAAAAUGAUUCCAGGGAAUGCAAAACAACUCAUGAAAUGUGAAAACCUUCAAUAAUCAUGAUGCAUUACUUUUAAGAUUAAAAGUAGUCAGAAAAAAAGGAGUGGGGAAUGUAAGGGUAAAAAAAAAAUUGAAGUUAAAGCAUAAAAGUUAAAGGGUAAAAGACCGGGCGUUGUAGUUUCUAAGCUGCAAGGUCUGAGUUAAAAUGUAAAGGAUUAGGUAUUGUUAGGUUUCUAUGCUACCUGCAGAACCUGAAAACCCUGCAGCUGUUAGAACAAUACUGGAACUGCCCAGUAAAUAUUCCCACUGACUUGUUGGUUGUCCAAUAACUCGGGACACUGUGUAACUGUUCAUGUAGACCUUUAGGCCCCAAAACCAAUCAGUUUGAAUGUGUACCCCAUUUAGAAAGGACCUAUCUCUCCAGCCUGACCUGUUCCCGACAAUGAAUGAACUAAUCAUGUUUAGGAGUUGUUGCUUAAUUUUCCCGCGGUGUAUAAUGAUUUGUUAAAGGAGACUGUGAUAUAUGUAAAAUCCCUGCCCUCCCAAAAGUGUACUUAAGGAGUGCUCAUCUUCUGCUCGUGGCUCUGGGCUGUUUUCCCUUCUUGAGUGGGCACGGAGCCCCAGCAUGCUGGUUCAAUAAAUCCCCUUCUGCCAAUUUCAUGAGUGGUCA